UUAGUUUGAUGAAAGCUUGUAACUAGAUCGGAUGACACGGAAGAAGUGGUGAAAGAGAGACUCCGAAUAUACAAUGAAAAGGGUCAGCCUUUGGAGGACUACUACCGCAAUCAAGGAAAGUGGAUGGAAUUUGAUUUACCAGGGGGUAUCCCUGAAUCAUUGCCAAAGUUAUUGGAGGCUCUCAACCUUUAUGAGUUUGACGAAAGGCAGUCCCUUGCAGCAUUAGGUGUUACUGACUACCGUAGUUUUAUAGGUGAGUCUCGUAUUCUUUGCAUGAUGGAGUAGCAUGCUUAUCAAUUUUGCAUUCACAAGAGAGAACUUGUUUUUUUUUUGCAAAUAAAUGCUUCAAAACUUUUGCAUAGUCGAACUAUUAUAUUAUUUGUUUACAAGGAGACUCUGUUGUAUUGUAAUUUGAGAGAGAUACAAACGGGAGGUUUUGUGAGAGAUUUACAUAUCCAAUAGCAGCUUUCAGAAAUAAUACUUCCUCAAUGGAAAAUCAUUGUGUAAAACUAUAUUUUCUUGCUG
Molecule: long non-coding RNA, 525 nt
Organism: Hibiscus syriacus
Lineage: Eukaryota; Viridiplantae; Streptophyta; Magnoliopsida; Malvales; Malvaceae
Exons: 2
Source: RefSeq, a predicted model, not a curated record